Long non-coding RNA from Lolium perenne, 1770 nucleotides. RefSeq lists it as uncharacterized. The record is from RefSeq and is a predicted model, not a curated record. Lineage: Eukaryota; Viridiplantae; Streptophyta; Magnoliopsida; Poales; Poaceae.
UUACGAGCUUGCCAACCAUCCCAAAUCGUGUGUGCUGCGGUUCUGUAAUUUUGACGGUGGGUGGAAGCGGGGUGCGGGCGGCGAGCAACUCCGCUGGGCGUUCUGGCCGGCGGCGAGCAACUCCGCUUGGCGUUCUGGCCAGCGACGAGCGCUGCAGAAGGAAUUGUGGCGGUCGGCGAGGGCUGCAGCUGGGGAUUGCGGCGAUUGGCGAGCGAUCUCGCCCCCGUGUUCGUCUCCUCCGCCCUACCGCGACAUCCUCCUCGCCGGCGCCUACUUCCGCACCCGAGUGCGGCAUCCUCCGCCCCAGUGCCGGCAGCACCAUCUCCUCCACCUCGUUCUUCACCACCUGACGCCACCCGCCGUCCUCUACGGAUCCAUUCGCCACCUCUUACCAGCGCCGCUGUCAGUGCCCUGCCGUGGAGCUCCUGCCGCUGGGCUCCAACUCUCCUUGCCUCGAACCGCCGAGAUCCAACCAGCCGCGACCAGGUCGUGUCGCCGCCGAGCUCCAGUCAACCGGGAUGAGGUCAUGUCGCCACCGUCCUCGCCUCGUGCCCAAAGUUCCUGCCGUUGGCUGCUAGCGCCAGUCGCCGCCGUCCUCCUCGUCUGCAACCUCUCCUGCCAUCCUAGUCGGCUCCAAUUGCUCCUGUUGUAUUCUUCUUUUCCGAGCAGGAACAAGAUCCUCCUUCCUUUAGUCAACGAGCCAUGACCCAGUAUGUCCAAGCAUCGUCACCAGACCACACAAUGUUGGGCGGUUAUUGAGGCUAAUCGGGGGCAGGAGAUUCAAUCCUUCUUUUGAUGCCGGCCAACAGGGAGCACAGUGGUGCAUUAGAAAUUCUUGCAACAUGAGCUAUUCCUCCCAUUGAAUGAGCUGAGCUUACUGGUGGCCUACAACAUGUAGUACUUUUGUUCUUAUCCGUGUUUAUAUUCCUCCCAAAGAUUAUCUUGAACCUUGUCCCUGCAAUGGAUCUACGAUAUGAUGCUAUUUUGUGGAAACAUUUUCUUAAUUAAGGUGGCAUCAGCAUCGUGCUUACCAGCAGGCAGCCUCAGCACUGAUGUGGGUCCUUUCAAGGCUGUGAAGAGCUUGUACCAGGCCAGGUGUACGAGAGUUCCAUGGCUGUCAAAUACUUGUCUGAGCAUCUAAAUGGUGUUGACCCUAAACAGAUUAAGCUGGAUAGACGGUGAUGUUCAAAAAAUUAAGUGGAACUGGGGAUGUGUCCUGCUCCUGGGUUCACAAUGAAAUGUAGAGCUGCAUGGAAAUACAACAUCAAAGCGUCGUCUAGUGGAGCUGUUGUAACUAAAUAAUUUGCACCGACUCAUGUAAUUUAUUACAUGUUCACAUAUUAAUUCCUUUAUUUUUGAUAUGCACGCUAUGCCUGAAAUAUGUAGACACAUCUGUGCAUGGGCACAUAUAUAUAUAUAUGUUUAUUCGCAUGGAAUUCUUACUCAAGUCGUAUGUGUAAAACUUGUAUUGUGUAAUCAUGCCAUCCUUGAUAUUCUUAUGGGCAUCAAACUUUUCUGUCACCUCUGAAAUAUCUUCCUCCAUCGUGUAAUCGUGUAAAACUUGCACGGAGUAGCUAUAUUAAGUUGUAGUCGUGUUUUUAUCAAGUUUUUACAUCGCCUCUGAGAUUUCCUAGGUGAGUGCUUGGCCCAAAAUUUCUUUCGAUGGCGGACAAAUUGAAUUAGUUGCCCUUGGAUUCUAGCAGUAUUUCUCUGCUCUUGGUGCUCUAACAGAUUUUCUUAGUAGGUUAAUUUUUCUUGCCUACUCCGUAG